GACGAACGCUGGCGGCGUGCUUAACACAUGCAAGUCGAACGGAAAGGCCCUGCUUUUGUGGGGUGCUCGAGUGGCGAACGGGUGAGUAACACGUGAGUAACCUGCCCUUGACUUUGGGAUAACUUCAGGAAACUGGGACUAAUACCGGAUAGGAGCUCCUGCUGCAUGGUGGGGGUUGGAAAGUUUCGGCGGUUGGGGAUGGACUCGCGGCUUAUCAGCUUGUGGGUGGGGUAGUGGCUUACCAAGGCUUUGACGGGUAGCCGGCCUGAGAGGGUGACCGGCCACAUUGGGACUGAGAUACGGCCCAGACUCCUACGGGAGGCAGCAGUGGGGAAUAUUGCACAAUGGGCGGAAGCCUGAUGCAGCAACGCCGCGUGCGGGAUGACGGCCUUCGGGUUGUAAACCGCUUUCGCCUGUGACGAAGCGUGAGUGACGGUAAUGGGUAAAGAAGCACCGGCUAACUACGUG
RNAcentral lists this ribosomal RNA (468 nucleotides) under uncultured bacterium. RNAcentral's name for it is "partial 16S ribosomal RNA". It matches the Rfam family "Bacterial small subunit ribosomal RNA", at positions 28 to 507 of the family's 1533-position model. The record is from RNAcentral.